Molecule: unclassified non-coding RNA, 5862 nt
Filed under: Haliotis rufescens (red abalone)
Lineage: Eukaryota; Metazoa; Mollusca; Gastropoda; Lepetellida; Haliotidae
Description: probable G-protein coupled receptor 139, transcript variant X1
Source: RNAcentral
UAAAACCAUACUCACUCACUCACUCUAUUUGGUGUAAAUAUGUACUUUGAAAGACUAUUUCACAUGUUUUAAAAAGUGUUUUUUCAACAGUAUCAAGUGAAUAUUGCAUUGUAGCACAUGUCAAAAGAUGGAGUUAGAUAUGUCACCAUCAUGUAUUAAUAUUCAUACAGGUUAAUAUCGUUUGCAGCGAGUAGUGGAUCAGAAGCCGUUCUCUAUGUAUUGAACCCUGAUCACCACAGUAAAACGCAUGCACACUCGCGCGCACACAGGAAUAUAUUUACACACACAUACUCACCUUACAGAUAGUUCGUGUGUGGCAACACUAUCGUUUCCUAGAUUUCAGUGAAACUAUCUAUAAUAACUGCAUCAUCACUGCGGGGGCUGUUUUAACUACAUCUCAACCCCACCGCACCAACUAUCAAUUAUCACAAUACAGAUAUCACAUAUCAAUAAAUGUAGCCUCAUUUGUAACCAUUAAGUCGGCGUUUGUCAAAAAAGAUAUCAUUAUGUCCUUGUUUUGGUCAUUUAGCUGGAACACUACUGCAUGCAUCGUUAAGCAGCAUACAACAAAAGAAACAAACAAAAAAUCGCUUUCGUUUUUUAGUUCUUUCAGACGAAAAGAGGCUGAAUGCUAGAACGCGUGAUUUAGACGUGUGUAGGGGCUGGGUUAGAACUAUUGUUUUUUUUUAAUUUCUUCCCCACACAACCUCACGAUGCAUGAAUCAUUCCUCUCUGGAAACUGUAGACGCAUAGUGUGACAUGUCUAUUCUCAGCUAAUGGUGUGUGUCGUGAUCCUGCGUGGUAUGUUGGUGUAGUGUAACAUAUUAGUGUCAACUGUAUUCAGGUAUGUCAACCUGAAAUUAAACACCACAUCCAGGCCAAAAUCCUUCACUCGCCGUAUCUGUUAAAUGGAGUACAUAUUGUGUUGUGCAUGGGUUGGCCGGGGGACGGUAACAUUUCCAGACAGUAACACCGCCACGAAGAGGGGUAUCAGCAGAAAUUGAAUCUCGGUAUUGUUAGAGGCAGAAGGUUUCAAAGACUCGGUUUUAAAGAGAGGCUGAAUGCUGGAACGGAGGAGUGAGACUUGUGUACGUGCUGGGUUAGUACUAUGAUAAACGCCAGAGGGUGGUCACAGAAAACAUCGUAAGCACUUGUAGCAGCCUGUUGAGAUCCGUGGAACAAUUAACAAAACCCGUGGAGACCCUCUGUUAACAGGAACCAAACUGUGGAGACUCUGUUAACAGGAACCAAACUGUGGAGACUCUGUUAACAGGAAUUAAACUGUGGAGACUCUGUUAACAGGAACCAAACUGUGAAGACUCUGUUAACGGGAACCAAACCGUGAAGACUCUAUUAACAGGAAUCAAACUGUGGAGACUCUGUUAACAGGAACCAAACUGUGGAGACUCUGUUAACAGGAACCAAACUGUGAAGACUCUGUUAACAGGAACCAAACUGUGGAGACUCUGUUAACAGGAACCAAACUGUGGAGACUCUAUUAACAGGAAUCAAACUGUGGAGACUCUGUUAACAGGAACCAAACUGUGGAGACUCUGUUAACAGGAACCAAACUGUGGAGACUCUGUUAACAGGAAUCAAACUGUGGAGACUCUGUUAACAGGAACCAAACUGUGAAGACUCUGUUAACAGGAACCAAACCGUGAAGACUCUAUUAACAGGAAUCACACUGUGGAGACUGUUAACAGGAAACAAACUGUGAUGACUCUGUUAACAGGAACCAAACUGUGAAGACUCUCUUAACGGGAAUUAAACUGUGAAGACUCUGUUAACAGGAACCAAACUGUGAAGACUCUCUUAACGGGAACCAAACUGUGAAGACUCUGUUAACAGGAACCAAACUGUGAAGACUCUGUUAACAGGAACCAAGCUGUGAAGACUCUGUUAACAGGAACCAAACUGUGAAGACUCUGUUAACGGGAACCAAACUGUGAAGACUCUGUUAACAGGAACCAAACUGUGAAGACUCUGUUAACGGGAACCAAAAUGUGGAGACUCUGUUAACGGGAAUUAAACUGUGAAGACUCUGUCAACAGGAAUUAAACUGUGAAGACUCUGUUAACGGGAAUUAAACUGUGAAGACUCUGUCAACGGGAACCAAACUGUGAAGACUCUGUUAACAGGAAUCAAACUGUGGAGACUCUGUCAACAGGAAUUAAACUGUGAAGACUCUGUUAACAGGAAUUAAACUGUGAAGACUCUGUUAAGGGGAACGAAACUGUGAAGACUCUGUUAACAGGAACCAAACUGUGGAGACUCUGUCAACAGGAAUUAAACUGUGAAGACUCUCUUAACAGGAACCAAACUGUGAAGACUCUGUUAACAGGAACCAAACUGUGAAGACUCUGUUAACGGGAACCAAACUGUAAAGACUCUGUUAACAGGAACCAAACUGUGGAGACUCUGUCAACAGGAAUUUGAACUGUGAAGACUCUGUCAACAGGAAUUAAACUGUGAAGACUCUCUUAACGGGAAUCAAACUGUGAAGACUUUCUUAACGGGAACCAAACUGUGAAGACUCUGUUAACAGGAACCAAACUGUGGAGACUCUGUCAACAGGAACCAAACUGUGAAGACUCUGUUUACAGGAACCAAACUGUGAAGACUCUGUAAACAGGAACCAAACUGUGAAGACUCUGUUAACGGGAACCAAAAUGUGGAGACUCUGUUAACGGGAAUUAAACUGUGAAGACUCUGUUAACAGGAAUUAAACUGUGAAGACUCUGUUAACGGGAACCAAACUGUGAAGACUCUGUUAACAGGAACCAAACUGUGGAGACUCUGUCAACAGGAAUUAAACUGUGAAGACUCUCUUAACAGGAACCAAACUGUGAAGACUCUGUUAACAGGAACCAAACUGUGAAGACUCUGUUAACGGGAACCAAACUGUAAAGACUCUGUUAACAGGAACCAAACUGUGGAGACUCUGUCAACAGGAAUUUGAACUGUGAAGACUCUGUCAACAGGAUUUAAACUGUGAAGACUCUCUUAACGGGAAUCAAACUGUGAAGACUUUCUUAACGGGAACCAAACUGUGAAGACUCUGUUAACAGAAACCAAACUGUGGAGACUCUGUCAACAGGAAUUAAACUGUGAAGACUCUGUUUACAGGAACCAAACUGUGAAGACUCUGUAAACAGGAACCAAACUGUAAAGACUCUGUUAACGGGAACCAAACUGUAAAGACUCUGUUAACAGGAACCAAACUGUGGAGACUCUGUCAACAGGAAUUUGAACUGUGAAGACUCUGUCAACAGGAAUUAAACUGUGAAGAUUCUGUGAAGACUUUCUUUUCAGAAACAACAACCUGUUCAGAAGCUGCUGACAGGACGCAAAGUGUGGAUACACUCUGUCCACAUUAAGCCGUUAAUAGAUCUUUAUUAUUCACAGGAAACAAACAAUUACUCUUCAGAAGACGCACUUUCACUGGAACAAAGUUUACACUUAACUUUCCUGUAUGAUCUCCCAAAUAUGAGGAUGAAUGUUUCAAACUGUUCGAACGAAGAGAAUGAAGCCAUAUUGCCUAACCAGGAAACAGCUAAUCUCUUGUGGAAGAUCAUUUCGCCAAUUCUCCUUCUACUUGGCACUGUAGGCAACCUCCUUUCCAUUGUUGUGUUGACCCGUAAGGCAAUGCGGAAGUCCAAUAUGUCCAAAUACCUAACCUGCCUGGCAGUGGCUGAUCUAGCGGUUCUGUAUGUCGGACUUCUACCACAAUGGAUAAGUGUUACGUUCGAUGUAAAUAUAAGGGACGUUCAUCCAGUUGUUUGUAAGAUACACCCGUGGUUACUGUACUCAAGCCUUCACACAUCGGCUUGGAUUCAAGUCUCUGUGACCAUUGAACGCACAGUCUUUGUUUGGAGACCUCUGCGAUACAGGAUCUUGUGCACCAAGCGUGUAGCCACCAUCAGUGUUGGUAUUGUUAUAAGCAUAUGCCUGAUAUUAAAUAGUCACUUUCUGAUCUUCUUGGAACAUACUGAAACAGAUCCAGGAGUUUAUGAGUGUGAUUCCGUAACGACAGCUGAGUAUGAUGACUUUCUCAGCAAAGUGUUUCACUGGAUAGAUCUGUGUGUGUGGUGUAUUGUACCUGUCGUUGUCCAUCUUGUGUGCAAUAUUCUCAUUAUUUACCGGCUACGUACGCAUGCUCGUACCAUGGCUAGACAUAAUUCCACGCCUGGGGCAGAUGGAUCAAGGCAAAGUCUCGUAACGUCCAUGACAACUAUGCUGUUGAGUUUGAACCUGGUGUACCUCCUCUGCACCUUGCCCGUGUCCGUCUUCUUCGUUGGCGAGCGCUAUUGGAACAUCAGUUCCCCAGGGGCUGAGGCAGAAGCACGACGAGAGCUUAUAAAGGCGUGUGUGAGCCUUCUGAUGUAUCUCAACAACUCCACCAACUUCAUCAUCUGCUUGGUCAAAGGUAAACGAUUCCGGGAGGAGGCGCGUAUUAUCUUCAGCUGUCAAAGACCACGACGUCUCCCACGUCAAAGAGGCUCGACUUGGAUCUCUUCUAUAUCAAGGUCAUUGCGGCAGAGGUCACUUAUAGAUUCAUCAAGCAGUUCAUCAAGCGACAUCAUUGGACUGAGGUACAGACGUAGUUCUGCACAUGCUGCACAAAUAAACAACAUAAGCUCCAGUGUCAACAUGUAACGAUGUGAAGAAAUAAACAACAUAAGCUCCAGUGUCAACAUGUGACAACAUAAGUUACAGUGUUAGCAUGUGACGAGGUGGAGCUAUAAACAACAUAAGCUCCAGUGUCAACAUGUGACAACAAAAGCUCCAGUGUCAACAUGUGACAACAUAAGCUCCAGUGUCAACAUGUAACGAGGUGAAGAAAUAAACAACAUAAGGUCCAGUGUCAACAUGUGACAACAUAAGCUCCAGUGUCAACAUGUAACGAGGUGAAGAAAUAAACAACAUAAGGUCCAGUGUCAACAUGUGACAACAUAAGCUCCAGUGUCAACAUGUGACAACAUAAGCUCCAGUGUCAACAUGUAACGAGGUGAAGAAAUAAACAACAUAAGCUCCAGUGUCAACAUGUGACAACAUAAGUUACAGUGUCAGCAUGUGACGAGGUGGAGAAAUAAACAACAUAAGCUCAAGUGUCAACAUGUGACAACAUAAGCUCCAGUGUCAACAUGUAACGAGGUGAAGAAAUAAACUACAUAAGCUCCAGUUUCAGCAUGUGACGAGGUGGAGAAAUAAACAACAUAAGGUCCAGUGUCAACAUGUGACAACAUAAGCUCCAGUGUCAACAUGUAACGAGGUGAAGAAAUAAACAAUAUAAGGUCCAGUGUCAACAUGUGACAACAUAAGCUCCAGUGUCAACAUGUGACAACAAAAGCUCCAGUGUCAACAUGUGACAACAUAAGCUCCAGUGUCAACAUGUAACGAGGUGAAGAAAUAAACUACAUAAGCUCCAGUUUCAGCAUGUGACGAGGUUGAGAAAUAAACAACAUAAGCUCCAGUGUCAACAUGUGACAACAUAAGCUCCAGUGUCAACAUGUAACGAGGUGAAGAAAUAAACAACAUAAGCUCCAGUGUCAACAUGUGACAACAUAAGUUACAGUGUCAGCAUGUGACGAGGUGGAGAAAUAAACAACAUAAGCUCCAGUGUCAACAUGUGACAACAUAAGCUCCAGUGUCAACAUGUAACGAGGUGAAGAAAUAAACUACAUAAGCUCCAGUUUCAGCAUGUGACGAGGUUGAGAAAUAAACAACAUAAGGUCACGUGUCAGCAUGUGACGAGGUGGAGAAAUAAACAACAUAAGCUCCAGUGUCAGCAUGUGACGAGGUGGAGCUAUAAACAACAUAAGGUCCAGUGUCAGCAUGUGACGAGGUGGAGAAAUAAAC